RNAcentral lists this ribosomal RNA (574 nucleotides) under Trichoderma atroviride. Its description in RNAcentral is "eukaryotic LSU rRNA". The stretch from base 191 to 344 matches the Rfam family "5.8S ribosomal RNA". The record is from RNAcentral. Lineage: Eukaryota; Fungi; Ascomycota; Sordariomycetes; Hypocreales; Hypocreaceae.
CAUUACCGAGUUUACAACUCCCAAACCCAAUGUGAACCAUACCAAACUGUUGCCUCGGCGGGGUCACGCCCCGGGUGCGUCGCAGCCCCGGAACCAGGCGCCCGCCGGAGGGACCAACCAAACUCUUUUCUGUAGUCCCCUCGCGGACGUUAUUUCUUACAGCUCUGAGCAAAAAUUCAAAAUGAAUCAAAACUUUCAACAACGGAUCUCUUGGUUCUGGCAUCGAUGAAGAACGCAGCGAAAUGCGAUAAGUAAUGUGAAUUGCAGAAUUCAGUGAAUCAUCGAAUCUUUGAACGCACAUUGCGCCCGCCAGUAUUCUGGCGGGCAUGCCUGUCCGAGCGUCAUUUCAACCCUCGAACCCCUCCGGGGGGUCGGCGUUGGGGACCUCGGGAGCCCCUAAGACGGGAUCCCGGCCCCGAAAUACAGUGGCGGUCUCGCCGCAGCCUCUCCUGCGCAGUAGUUUGCACAACUCGCACCGGGAGCGCGGCGCGUCCACGUCCGUAAAACACCCAACUUCUGAAAUGUUGACCUCGGAUCAGGUAGGAAUACCCGCUGAACUUAAGCAUAUCAAUAA